RNAcentral lists this non-coding RNA (21 nucleotides) under Caenorhabditis elegans. Lineage: Eukaryota; Metazoa; Nematoda; Chromadorea; Rhabditida; Rhabditidae. The record is from RNAcentral.
UCUGUACGGCCAGAUCAAAUC